RNAcentral lists this transfer RNA (86 nucleotides) under Candidatus Omnitrophota bacterium. RNAcentral describes it as "Candidatus Omnitrophica bacterium tRNA-Leu". It matches the Rfam family "tRNA". Rfam says of the family: Transfer RNA (tRNA) molecules are approximately 80 nucleotides in length. Their secondary structure includes four short double-helical elements and three loops (D, anti-codon, and T loops). Lineage: Bacteria; Pseudomonadati; Candidatus Omnitrophota. The record is from RNAcentral.
GCGGAAGUGGCGGAACGGCAGACGCACUAGCUUCAGGAGCUAGCGGGAGAAAUCUCAUCGGGGUUCAAAUCCCCGCUUCCGCACCA